CUGCAAUUCCUUCCCUGCUGGGAUCUGGGUGGGAAUCCUCACACAAAUCAUCCCGGACAUGAAAGAGGCUCCCUUUAACAGCUUCGGUUUGCUACACACCCAUGACCCGAGAACAAAUCCAAUAAAACAAUUUACAACUAUGGACCCAGUGUGGAGCAAGGUGGAAUAGAAACCUCAAGGCAGAGAUUAGUUAGAGGGAAAGAGAAGUAAAACAUUUAACAAGGAGGGGGAGAAGGGUAAGUACGUAAAUUUAAUCGGUAUUUGGUCACCAAGCCAGGAAAUGACCCAAGGGCACAGAUCCCCGAGGAUCUUCUCCCACUGCAGCACAGGUCUGUAACCAGCAGCCAGGGAUGAGACAGAAAUGACUGACACCAGGUGUAUUUUACCUGGCUGAAAACAUGAUCCCAGGCAGGGAGGCAUCUGAGAACCCCGACAGCAUCACCCCCCUCCCCGUGCAGGACCAACUCUGCUCCAGGCAGUGUCCUGGCCAGGACACCCCAGCACCCCUGGGCCCAACAAGGGCUGCUCAGUACCGUCAAAUCACGUCGGCUUGGAAGGGACUUUAAAACCCAUCCAGUCCCACCCCUGCCACGGGCACAGACACCUCCCACUGUCCCAGGCUGCUCCAAGCCCCGUCCAACCUGGCCUUGGGCACUGCCAGGGAUCCAGGGGCAGCCCCAGCUGCUCUGGGCACCCUGUGCCAGGGCCUGCCCACCCUGCCAGGGAGGAAUUUCAUCCCAGUAUCCAAUGUGAUGUACCAAGAGCGUCCUUCCCGCACCACCGCCACCGGGACACAAGAAUCCUCCUCCAAAGCCACUCAUUCCCCUCACACGCAUUAAGUACCUGGCAAGUUAUUAAGAAACAAGUGGCGCAGACACCUCCGCCGCGGGAAUGAAACCUGAAAACUGAAUCAAGAUGUGAUUCCUCUGCACGUGGGACCGCCUGCACCUGCACAGGGGUCUCUGCUCUCCACUGCACUGAACAGCAUUGCCAUGUCUUUUGCUGCUUCUGAGGCAGCAAAUCUGCAUUUGAUUGGAAGGAAUAAAAUAAACUCAUAAGUCUCA
Long non-coding RNA from Parus major (Great Tit), 1064 nucleotides. NCBI's taxonomy places the organism in Eukaryota, Metazoa, Chordata, Aves, Passeriformes, Paridae. The record is from Ensembl.